This 762-nucleotide ribosomal RNA is filed under the name uncultured bacterium. Its description in RNAcentral is "bacterial SSU rRNA". It matches the Rfam family "Bacterial small subunit ribosomal RNA", at positions 8 to 794 of the family's 1533-position model. The record is from RNAcentral.
AGAGUUUGAUCAUGGCUCAGGAUGAACGCUGACAGAAUGCUUAACACAUGCAAGUCUACUUGAUCCUUCGGGUGAUGGUGGCGGACGGGUGAGUAACGCGUAAAGAACUUGCCCUGCAGUCUGGGACAACAUUUGGAAACGAAUGCUAAUACCGGAUAUUAUGUGAGUUUCGCAUGAAAUUCAUAUGAAAGUUAUAUGCGCUGCAGGAGAGCUUUGCGUCCUAUUAGCUAGUUGGUGAGGUAACGGCUCACCAAGGCCAUGAUAGGUAGCCGGCCUGAGAGGGUGAACGGCCACAAGGGGACUGAGACACGGCCCUUACUCCUACGGGAGGCAGCAGUGGGGAAUAUUGGACAAUGGACCAUAAGUCUGAUCCAGCAAUUCUGUGUGCACGAUGAAGUUUUUCGGAAUGUAAAGUGCUUUCAGUUGGGACGAAGUAAGUGACGGUACCAACAGAAGAAGCGACGGCUAAAUACGUGCCAGCAGCCGCGGUAAUACGUAUAUCGCAAGCGUUAUCCGGAUUUAUUGGGCGUAAAGCGCGUCUAGGCGGUUUAGUAAGUCUGAUGUGAAAAUGCGGGGCUCAACUCCGUAUUGCGUUGGAAACUGCUUUACUAGAGUACUGGAGAGGUGGGCGGAAUUACAAGUGUAGAGGUGAAAUUCGUAGAUAUUUGUAGGAAUGCCGAUGGGGAAGUCAGCCCACUGGACAGAUACUGACGCUGAAGCGCGAAAGCGUGGGUAGCAAACAGGAUUAGAUACCCUGGUAGU